This is a long non-coding RNA of Phodopus roborovskii (desert hamster), 522 nucleotides long. RefSeq lists it as uncharacterized. Lineage: Eukaryota; Metazoa; Chordata; Mammalia; Rodentia; Cricetidae. The transcript is spliced from 3 exons. The record is from RefSeq and is a predicted model, not a curated record.
UGCCUAGCAUGACCCGUCCACAGAGAGGCUUCAUCCAGCAACUGAUGGGAACAGAUGCAGAGAUCCGCAGCCAAUCAUUAGCCUGAGACAGAGAAUCCUGCUGAAGAAAUGGAGAAAGAAUGGUAGAAACCAGCCAGCCUGACAAUAAAGAAUGUGACAGACCCUAAAUGUGGCCUCCAAGCCAGGAAGUAAAUGAAGAAAAACAUCUCCGGAUGAGCAUUCAGGAGGAGAUCCAUCACAAGGAGCCUCUAAGGACCAAGAUUGUGCUGCUGCUGUCACCAUUCCUUGAUGUGACAAAUGUCUACAGAGCUCAUCUUUCAUUGUUCCCUCAGUCAUGGUGUUGUGAAGAAUGGGAGCCCACAUUGACAAGAACAUUUUGAAAAGAAUGAAUCCAACAAGCCAAUGGAUAGUAAACAGACAACAUAACAAGUUAAACACUCUAGGAAACACAGGGGAUAGUGAUUCGUUUCCUAAGCCCAAGACAUCCUCAUGUCCUUUUUUUACUGAAAAUAAAAAUUCUAG